This 499-nucleotide ribosomal RNA is filed under the name uncultured bacterium. RNAcentral's name for it is "partial 16S ribosomal RNA". It matches the Rfam family "Bacterial small subunit ribosomal RNA", at positions 28 to 507 of the family's 1533-position model. The record is from RNAcentral.
GACGAACGCUGGCGGCGUGCCUAAUACAUGCAAGUCGAGCGAAGUUUUUCUGGUGCUUGCCCUAGAAAAACUUAGCGGCGAACGGGUGAGUAACACGUAAAGAACCUGCCUCAUAGACUGGGACAGCUAUUGGAAACGAUAGCUAAUACCGGAUAACAGUAUUUCUCGCAUGAGAGAGAUUUAAAAGUUGUUUAUGCUAACACUAUGAGAUUGCUUUGCGGUGCAUUAGCUAGUUGGUGGGGUAAAGGCCCACCAAGUCGACGAUGCAUAGCCGACCUGAGAGGGUGAUCGGCCACACUGGGACUGAGACACGGCCCAGACUCCUACGGGAGGCAGCAGUAGGGAAUCUUCCGCAAUGGGCGAAAGCCUGACGGAGCAACGCCGCGUGAGUGAAGAAGGAUUUCGGUUCGUAAAGCUCUGUUGUUAGGAAAGAAUGGAUAUGUGGUAACUAUACAUGUAAGAGACGGUACCUAACCAAAAAGCCACGGCUAACUACGUG